GACGAACGCUGGCGGCGUGCCUAAUACAUGCAAGUAGAACGCUGAAGGAGGAGCUUGCUUCUCUGGAUGAGUUGCGAACGGGUGAGUAACGCGUAGGUAACCUGCCUGGUAGCGGGGGAUAACUAUUGGAAACGAUAGCUAAUACCGCAUAAGAGUAGAUGUUGCAUGACAUUUGCUUAAAAGGUGCAAUUGCAUCACUACCAGAUGGACCUGCGUUGUAUUAGCUAGUUGGUGGGGUAACGGCUCACCAAGGCGACGAUACAUAGCCGACCUGAGAGGGUGAGCGGCCACACUGGGACUGAGACACGGCCCAGACUCCUACGGGAGGCAGCAGUAGGGAAUCUUCGGCAAUGGACGGAAGUCUGACCGAGCAACGCCGCGUGAGUGAAGAAGGUUGUCGGAUCGUAAAGCUCUGUUGUAAGAGAAGAACGAGUGUGAGAGUGGAAAGUUCACACUGUGACGGUAUCUUACCAGAAAGGGACGGCUAACUACGUG
This 495-nucleotide ribosomal RNA is filed under the name uncultured bacterium. RNAcentral's name for it is "partial 16S ribosomal RNA". It matches the Rfam family "Bacterial small subunit ribosomal RNA", at positions 28 to 507 of the family's 1533-position model. The record is from RNAcentral.